UAGCGUUAUACAAGUUUUUCGAGCACAAAGAGGAAGUCAAGUACCAAAGAGUAAAGCCAACAACAUCACAUGGAUUCGAGUGGAGUACUUUGAUGACUUCAAGUGUGCUACUUACUCAAGAUCUAAGUUGGAUGAACUUAAGGAGGAAUGGUGUCAAUUCAUGAUUGAGUUGAAAGUUGUAUAGGAUAUUGAAGGGUAAAAAGGUUAGCUGGCAAGAAGAAAAAGUAGAUAUUUAGCAUCCUUUUGACUUGUGUAAAAAAUAACAAUGUUUUGGAUGAUGCAAUUGUUUUCAUUGAAUUGGAUGUAA
This is a long non-coding RNA of Vicia villosa (hairy vetch), 307 nucleotides long. RefSeq lists it as uncharacterized. The transcript is spliced from 3 exons. NCBI's taxonomy places the organism in Eukaryota, Viridiplantae, Streptophyta, Magnoliopsida, Fabales, Fabaceae. The record is from RefSeq and is a predicted model, not a curated record.